Molecule: long non-coding RNA, 695 nt
Organism: Chelonia mydas (Green sea turtle)
Lineage: Eukaryota; Metazoa; Chordata; Testudines; Cheloniidae
Exons: 4
Source: RefSeq, a predicted model, not a curated record
UUGUCUCACGGCUGCCUGCAGUUCCUCUCAGCGGCAGCAGAGGUCGCCCGAGCGACCCUCCGGGGACGCGCGAGGCCUCUCUCCACGCGCGUCUCCAACUCCCCCGGGUGGAGGGGCGCGAGCCAGCCCUGCUGCGGGGGGAGCACAGCGCGCCCCCGGCCUGGCUCUGCAGAGGAGCGCGUGACUGGGGAAGAUUGUGUCACAGGAGCCGGGAAGUUUUGUUAUUUCCUCCCCCGUUAACCCUGUGGAACCAGCACAGCUAAGAAAGAAUGAGCCGGAUCCUAUACCCCCCUUGCAUUUGGAACAAAGUUGCAAUAUCCUCUGCAACCCUCUUAUAACAAAGGCCAUUAAACUGUAUGAGAAUCGAGGGGCUGUGCAGCUCACAGGAUUGGGCACACUGGAAAAGCUGGUGUGACUGCAGCUGGGGUUCUUGGUGUGAAGUCAUGCCAGUGCCAAUCAUAACAAGUCACAUCAUCCUAGGAGGAAGCUAUGGAUUUUUAAAUGCAUUUUAACAGACAAGGUGUGUUAGUUCUAAGUUACCUUCCCUAGGGAUUAGAUUUGCUCCUGAAGAAAUGAAUACAACAAAAUGCACAUAAUGGACCUCAUUUCUGUGCAUGCUGUAUAGAUAGUAUGGUUACAUAUAAAAACAAAACCUUUACUCUCUAGGACGGCUUUGCUAAUAAUUUAGCAGUAGU